RNAcentral lists this ribosomal RNA (478 nucleotides) under uncultured bacterium. Its description in RNAcentral is "partial 16S ribosomal RNA". It matches the Rfam family "Bacterial small subunit ribosomal RNA", at positions 28 to 523 of the family's 1533-position model. The record is from RNAcentral.
GACGAACGCUGGCGGCGUGCUUAACACAUGCAAGUCGAACGGUAAGGCCCUUCGGGGUACACGAGUGGCGAACGGGUGAGUAACACGUGGGUGAUCUGCCCUGCACUUCGGGAUAAGCCUGGGAAACUGGGUCUAAUACCGGAUAGGACCACUGCCUGCAUGGGUGGUGGGGGAAAGCUUUUGAGGUGUGGGAUGGGCCCGCGGCCUAUAAGCUUGUUGGUGGGGUGAUGGCCUACCAAGGCGACGACGGGUAGCCGGCCUGAGAGGGUGACCGGCCACACUGGGACUGAGAUACGGCCCAGACUCCUACGGGAGGCAGCAGUGGGGAAUAUUGCACAAUGGGCGCAAGCCUGAUGCAGCGACGCCGCGUGAGGGAUGACGGCCUUCGGGUUGUAAACCUCUUUCAGCACCGACGAAGCGCAAGUGACGGUAGGUGCAGAAGAAGGACCGGCCAACUACGUGCCAGCCGCCGCCGUAA